ACGAACGCUGGCGGCAUGCUUAACACAUGCAAGUCGAACGAGAAAGUUCCUUCGGGGACGAGUAAAGUGGCGCACGGGUGAGUAACGCGUAGAUAACCUGUCCUGAUGUGCGGGAUAACCCACCGAAAGGUGGACUAAUACCGUAUAAUCUGGUUUUUCAUAAGGGAGAUCGGGAAAGAUGGCCUCUAUUUAUAAGCUAUCGCAUUUUGAGGGGUCUGCGUACCAUUAGCUAGUUGGUGAGGUAAUAGCUUACCAAGGCUAUGACGGAUACCUGGUCUGAGAGGAUGAUCAGGCACAAUGGAACUGAGACACGGUCCAUACUCCUACGGGAGGCAGCAGUGAGGAAUCUUCCACAAUGGACGAAAGUCUGAUGGAGCGACACCGCGUGAAGGAUGAAGGCCUAACGGUUGUAAACUUCUUUUCUGAAGGAGCAUAAUGAGAGUACUUCAGGAAUAAGGGACGGCUAAAUACGUGCCAGCAGCCGCGGUAAUACGUAUGUCUCAAGCGUUACCCGGAAUUACUGGGUGUAAAGGGUUCGUAGGUGGUUAGAAAAGUUGGAUAUGAAAGACCGGAGCUUAACUCCGUGUUGGUGUUCAAAACUGUUUAACUAGAAUCAGGGAGAGGUAAGUGGAAUUCUGUGUGUAGGGGUGCAAUCCGUAGAUACACAGAGGAACACCAAAAGCGAAGGCAACUUACUGGAACUGUAUUGACGCUCAUGAACGAAAGCGUGGGUAGCGAAAAGGAUUAGAUACCCUUGUAGUCCACGCCCUAAACGAUGAUAACUAAGUGUUGCGACUAGCUUGCAGUGCUGAAGCUAACGCGUUAAGUUAUCCACCUGAGGAGUACGGUCGCAAGAUUAAAACUCAAAGGAAUAGACGGGGACCCACACAAGCAGUGGAUCACGUGGUUUAAUUCGACAAUAAACGGGGAACCUUACCCAGACUUGACAUCCUAGGAAUCUUUCAGAGAUGAGAGAGUGCUUUUAUUAGAACCUAGUGACAGGUGCUGCAUGGUUGUCGUCAGCUCGUGCCUUGAGGUGUUCGGUUAAGUCCGUUAACGAGCGCAACCCAUGUCUUUAGUUAUUAUGUCUAAAGAGACUGCCUUGGUUAACAAGGAGGAAGGUGUGGAUGACGUCAAAUCAGCAUGGCUUUUACGUCUGGGGCUACACACAUGAUACAAUGGUAUGUACAAAGAGUAGCAAAAUAGUGAUAUUGAGCUAAUCUUAAAAGCAUAUCUCAGUCCGGAUUGGAGUCUGAAACUCGACUCCAUGAAGUUGGAAUUGCUAGUAAUCGUGAAUCAGAUAUGUCANCGGUGAAUACGAUCGCUGGGUCUUGUACUCAC
Molecule: ribosomal RNA, 1341 nt
Filed under: uncultured bacterium
Lineage: Bacteria
Description: 16S ribosomal RNA
Rfam family: Bacterial small subunit ribosomal RNA
Source: RNAcentral